AGGGCCACUCAGGAGACACAGAAGGAGUCAUCAUUGGCACAAGACUGUUAAGAAAAACCAAGACGAGGGGAGACUCAGAAGCCUUCAGGAGGGGAGAAGGAUGAAAGAGCAAUCCUACACCAGUGGCUACCAUGCAAGAUAAGAACAAGCAAAGCUCUCCAAAACUGCUAAGCAGUUCCAGAACAAUCUCCCUUGCUGUCACUCAUCAAUUCCCAUAAAGUGUUAGCAGCUCCUUAAACUAAAACCAACCCAAUUGCUCAGGAGAAGUACAACUGGUUUUGGAAAAAACUCUGAUAGAGAUUUCUGCUGAGGGUGCUUCAUUAUAAGGAAGACAUCAUGAGAUAAUUUGAAAUUGGCUGCGCCCAACAGGUUUCCAAGUGGACAUGCUGUUUGGAAUAAAUUACAUUACAUUCUCUUCAUGAUAUCCAAAUCAUGUUUCAAAAUGUUUGGAACCACCCUCAAA
Molecule: long non-coding RNA, 463 nt
Organism: Nycticebus coucang (slow loris)
Lineage: Eukaryota; Metazoa; Chordata; Mammalia; Primates; Lorisidae
Exons: 4
Source: RefSeq, a predicted model, not a curated record